This 446-nucleotide ribosomal RNA is filed under the name uncultured bacterium. RNAcentral describes it as "bacterial SSU rRNA". It matches the Rfam family "Bacterial small subunit ribosomal RNA", at positions 330 to 793 of the family's 1533-position model. The record is from RNAcentral.
CCCAGACUCCUACGGGAGGCAGCAGUGGGGAAUAUUGCACAAUGGGGGAAACCCUGAUGCAGCGACGCCGCGUGAGUGAUGAAGUAUUUCGGUAUGUAAAGCUCUAUCAGCAGGGAAGAUAAUGACGGUACCUGACUAAGAAGCCCCGGCUAACUACGUGCCAGCAGCCGCGGUAAUACGUAGGGGGCAAGCGUUAUCCGGAUUUACUGGGUGUAAAGGGAGCGUAGACGGCAUGGCAAGUCUGAAGUGAAAGCCCGGGGCUCAACCGCGGGACUGCUUUGGAAACUGUUAAGCUGGAGUGCAGGAGAGGUAAGUGGAAUUCCUAGUGUAGCGGUGAAAUGCGUAGAUAUUAGGAGGAACACCAGUGGCGAAGGCGGCUUACUGGACUGUAACUGACGUUGAGGCUCGAAAGCGUGGGGAGCAAACAGGAUUAGAUACCCGUGUAC